AUUGAACGCUGGCGGAAUGCUUUACACAUGCAAGUCGAGCGGCAGCACGGGGGCAACCCUGGUGGCGAGCGGCGAACGGGUGAGUAACACAUCGGAACAUGCCCAGUCGUGGGGGAUAACACUUCGAAAGAAGUGCUAAUACCGCAUACGUCCUGAGGGAGAAAGCGGGGGAUCGCAAGACCUCGCGCGAUUGGAGUGGCCGAUGUCAGAUUAGCUAGUUGGUGGGGUAAAGGCCUACCAAGGCAACGAUCUGUAGCUGGUCUGAGAGGAUGAUCAGCCACACUGGGACUGAGACACGGCCCAGACUCCUACGGGAGGCAGCAGUGGGGAAUUUUGGACAAUGGGGGCAACCCUGAUCCAGCCAUUCCGCGUGAGUGAAGAAGGCCUUCGGGUUGUAAAGCUCUUUCGGCAGGAACGAAACGGUGAGCUCUAACAUAGCUUGCUAAUGACGGUACCUGAAGAAGAAGCACCGGCUAACUACGUGCCAGCCGCCGCUGUAACAC
This 503-nucleotide ribosomal RNA is filed under the name uncultured bacterium. RNAcentral's name for it is "bacterial SSU rRNA". It matches the Rfam family "Bacterial small subunit ribosomal RNA", at positions 30 to 526 of the family's 1533-position model. The record is from RNAcentral.